CUUCCGUAGGGUGAACCUGCGGAAGGAUCAUUACUGAGUGAGGGCCCUCUGGGUCCAACCUCCCACCCGUGUUUAUUGUACCUUGUUGCUUCGGUGCGCCCGCCUCACGGCCGCCGGGGGGCUUCUGCCCCCGGGUCCGCGCGCACCGGAGACACCAUUGAACUCUGUCUGAAGAUUGCAGUCUGAGCAUAAACUAAAUAAGUUAAAACUUUCAACAACGGAUCUCUUGGUUCCGGCAUCGAUGAAGAACGCAGCGAAAUGCGAUAACUAAUGUGAAUUGCAGAAUUCAGUGAAUCAUCGAGUCUUUGAACGCACAUUGCGCCCCCUGGUAUUCCGGGGGGCAUGCCUGUCCGAGCGUCAUUGCUGCCCUCAAGCACGGCUUGUGUGUUGGGCUCCGUCCCCCCGGGGACGGGUCCGAAAGGCAGCGGCGGCACCGAGUCCGGUCCUCGAGCGUAUGGGGCUUUGUCACCCGCUCUGUAGGCCCGGCCGGCGCCAGCCGACAACCAAUCAUCCUUUUUUCAGGUUGACCUCGAUCAGGUAGCUCCGGAU
This 549-nucleotide ribosomal RNA is filed under the name Penicillium thomii. RNAcentral describes it as "eukaryotic LSU rRNA". The stretch from base 207 to 360 matches the Rfam family "5.8S ribosomal RNA". Lineage: Eukaryota; Fungi; Ascomycota; Eurotiomycetes; Eurotiales; Aspergillaceae. The record is from RNAcentral.